This 1392-nucleotide ribosomal RNA is filed under the name Lactiplantibacillus plantarum. RNAcentral's name for it is "bacterial SSU rRNA". It matches the Rfam family "Bacterial small subunit ribosomal RNA", at positions 66 to 1428 of the family's 1533-position model. Lineage: Bacteria; Bacillati; Bacillota; Bacilli; Lactobacillales; Lactobacillaceae. The record is from RNAcentral.
ACUCUGGUAUUGAUUGGUGCUUGCAUCAUGAUUUACAUUUGAGUGAGUGGCGAACUGGUGAGUAACACGUGGGAAACCUGCCCAGAAGCGGGGGAUAACACCUGGAAACAGAUGCUAAUACCGCAUAACAACUUGGACCGCAUGGUCCGAGCUUGAAAGAUGGCUUCGGCUAUCACUUUUGGAUGGUCCCGCGGCGUAUUAGCUAGAUGGUGGGGUAACGGCUCACCAUGGCAAUGAUACGUAGCCGACCUGAGAGGGUAAUCGGCCACAUUGGGACUGAGACACGGCCCAAACUCCUACGGGAGGCAGCAGUAGGGAAUCUUCCACAAUGGACGAAAGUCUGAUGGAGCAACGCCGCGUGAGUGAAGAAGGGUUUCGGCUCGUAAAACUCUGUUGUUAAAGAAGAACAUAUCUGAGAGUAACUGUUCAGGUAUUGACGGUAUUUAACCAGAAAGCCACGGCUAACUACGUGCCAGCAGCCGCGGUAAUACGUAGGUGGCAAGCGUUGUCCGGAUUUAUUGGGCGUAAAGCGAGCGCAGGCGGUUUUUUAAGUCUGAUGUGAAAGCCUUCGGCUCAACCGAAGAAGUGCAUCGGAAACUGGGAAACUUGAGUGCAGAAGAGGACAGUGGAACUCCAUGUGUAGCGGUGAAAUGCGUAGAUAUAUGGAAGAACACCAGUGGCGAAGGCGGCUGUCUGGUCUGUAACUGACGCUGAGGCUCGAAAGUAUGGGUAGCAAACAGGAUUAGAUACCCUGGUAGUCCAUACCGUAAACGAUGAAUGCUAAGUGUUGGAGGGUUUCCGCCCUUCAGUGCUGCAGCUAACGCAUUAAGCAUUCCGCCUGGGGAGUACGGCCGCAAGGCUGAAACUCAAAGGAAUUGACGGGGGCCCGCACAAGCGGUGGAGCAUGUGGUUUAAUUCGAAGCUACGCGAAGAACCUUACCAGGUCUUGACAUACUAUGCAAAUCUAAGAGAUUAGACGUUCCCUUCGGGGACAUGGAUACAGGUGGUGCAUGGUUGUCGUCAGCUCGUGUCGUGAGAUGUUGGGUUAAGUCCCGCAACGAGCGCAACCCUUAUUAUCAGUUGCCAGCAUUAAGUUGGGCACUCUGGUGAGACUGCCGGUGACAAACCGGAGGAAGGUGGGGAUGACGUCAAAUCAUCAUGCCCCUUAUGACCUGGGCUACACACGUGCUACAAUGGAUGGUACAACGAGUUGCGAACUCGCGAGAGUAAGCUAAUCUCUUAAAGCCAUUCUCAGUUCGGAUUGUAGGCUGCAACUCGCCUACAUGAAGUCGGAAUCGCUAGUAAUCGCGGAUCAGCAUGCCGCGGUGAAUACGUUCCCGGGCCUUGUACACACCGCCCGUCACACCAUGAGAGUUUGUAACACCCAAAGUC